GGGGUUGUAGCUCAAUGGUAGAGUGUUUGCCUCACACAUGUAAGGAAGGCAUUGGGUUCUAUCCUCAGAACCUCA
RNAcentral lists this transfer RNA (75 nucleotides) under Marmota monax (woodchuck). Its description in RNAcentral is "tRNA.Val". Lineage: Eukaryota; Metazoa; Chordata; Mammalia; Rodentia; Sciuridae. The record is from RNAcentral.